GCAGUGCAGAGCAUAUACUCUCUCCUCUCCAUCAUAAUCAGUGAGAGAAACAAGACAACACAGCUCCAAGACGAUACAGCGAGAGAGAGAGAGAGAGAGAGAAGAGAAUGAAGGAGGAGGUAAUAAGCUCUUCAGGGGAUCCAUUGUUGGGCCCCAAAUCAUCAUCUUCUCCACCUCCAACCCCAACCCCAACCCCAACCCCAACCCCGGCUGCUAGUUCUGCAGGGGCAUCAUCUCCUGUCUUGCAGGUGAAUGCUGGAAGUAUUGAUUGGUUGGGUCUUGGACAGGGUUCCAAGGCAGGUUCACAUUCUGGAAUUGGUUCACAGCCCCUGUGGACUUCAUUGAGCACAACUGCUCGUGGUUCUGCCAUUGGGUCAUCGCAACCUUCAUGCAGACCAUGGGAAAGGGGGGAUUUACUAAAGCGUCUUUCUACGUUCAAGCCAGCAAAUUGGUUUGGAAAGCCAAAGGCUGCCAAUUCUUUGGCUUGUGCCAGAAGAGGCUGGGUAAAUGUUGAUGUUCAUAAGAUUGAGUGCAAGUCAUGUGGUGCAAACCUGCAGUUUUUUUCAUCAGCUUCCUGGACGCCUACAGAAGCUGAUAGUGCUGUGGAAGACUUUGCCAAACAGCUAGAUGCUGGCCACAAAGGCACUUGUCCGUGGAGAGGAAACAGCUGUGCAGAAAGCUUGGUGCAGUUUCCUCCUACUCCGGCAUCCGCUCUUAUUGGAGGUUAUAAGGAUCGGUGUGAUGGACUCUUGCAGUUUCUCUUCCUCCCAGUUGUGGCUGCUUCUGCAAUUGAGCAGAUGCGAGUUUCUAGAGGUUCAGAAAUUGACCGCUUUCUUGUUCACUCUCAGUCUCUCACAGCUGGGGAAUCUGGCUUCAAGGCGGAGAAUAUCUCUGGAAUGGGAAACACCAGAGAAGAGACCUUCUGUAUAUACUCUCAUGCUCAGAAGCUGAUAAGUUUGUGUGGAUGGGAACCGAGAUGGCUUCUAAAUGUUCUGGACUGUGAAGAACAUUCUGCUCAAUCAGCUAGGAAUGGAUGUUCAAAUGGUCCUACCAGAGAUCAUGGUCGACUGCAAGAUGCUGGUCCUAGCAAGAAAUCAUUCUCUGCUUCAACCAGAAAGGAUUCUGGAAAGAAUAAGGUACUUGGUCCCAAGUCUAAAUGUGAAUCUAGGUCACCCUUAUUAGAUUGUAGCUUAUGUGGAGCUACAGUCAGAAUCUGGGACUUUCAGACUGUAUCUCGUCCUGCUCGGUAUGGUCCCAGUAGCAUAGAUAUUCCUGAAACAAGCAAGAAAAUGGCAUUGACACGUGGAGUAAGUGCUGCCAGUGGAAUCAGUGGUUGGGUUGCUGCUGAUGGUAUGGACAAAGAGCAGACGGAGGACCAUGAUGGAACUGGAACAGCAGAUGACAGGAAGUCACAGUCAAAUGUUAGGGUGGAUUUAAAUCUAACUAUGGGUGGUGGGUUAUCCUCUACACAGUUGCACAUGACAGUGAUGUCUGAACAAUAUGACGUUAAUAUGGGAAGAGAUCUAAUAAUUGGGCAGCCUUCCAGCAGUGAGGUUGGUGACCGUGCAGCUUCAUAUGAAUCACGAGGUCCCAGUACACGUAAACGGAACUUGGAUGAAGGUGGAAGUACUGUUGACAGGCCGCAUAUAAUGAUGCAACAGGCCGACAGCAUUGAAGGAAUUGUCAUUGACCGUGACGGUGAUGAAGUUGAUGAUGAUAGACAGUACUCAGCUGGACCCUCAAAGCGUGCCCGUGACUUAGAUGCUUUUGAAACUUAUCAUUCAUCAUAUAGGAGAGAUUCAUCUGGUGCUGGUCCUAGCCAUUCAGUGGGUUUUGACAUAGAAACAGAUGCUCAUAAAGUUGAUACUUUUCACCAGGGAAAUGAAACAAUUAUUGGUAUCCCGUCCGCAAGAGAUUCAACACGUGUCUCCUCUGUUAUUGCAAUAGACACAAUCUGUCAUGGUGCAGAUGAUGAUUCUAUGGAAAGUGUUGAAAACUAUCCCGGAGUGGUCGACGAUGCCCAUUUCCCCUUGACAACGAUGUUUCAGAAUCCAGAUUUGAAUGAUGCAUCAGAAUUGAACUACAGCAAUCAAGCACAACAUAGUACCUGUCCAGCUGCCUUGAGAAGUACUGGAGAAAUGGGUGUUAGCAGCACAAAUGAUGGUGAGGAAGUAUUAAACACAGAUACCACAACUGCUCAUGGGAUGGAUGGGCCUAGCUUUGGCAUCAGCGGAGGAAGUGUUGGAAUGGGUGCUAGUCAUGAAGCUGAAAUCCACGGGACUUCUGUCCAUAGGGUGGAUAGUGUUGUUGGUGAUGUGGAACCAAUUGCUGAAGUCACUGAUAAUCAAGGUCAAACAGGUGAAUUUGCUCCAGAUCCUGGGCUAAUGGGUGAUUUUGUUCCUGAAGAAAUGGAGCGAGAGGAUCCUCAUGGUGACAGUCAAGAUUUGCUGUUUCGAUUUGUCAGAAAGGCAGAUAGUGGGUCAAAGAUUGUUGGUUCUGUGAAGGCUGAUUCUGUUGAAAGUGGUGAUAAAACCAGUAACAUGAACAUUUUACCUCAGGAGAACAGUGCCCAUCCUUCUCUUUCUUGCAAUGCAGUGGUAUGUUCUGGUUAUGAAGCAUCCAAAGAAGAAGUGACUCAGGGUGGCAAGGCAUCACCUACUGAUGAUUGUGCAUACCCUCAGUCAGGUUAUUUGGUGGCAAAUGGGAUAGGUAACCCAGUCUGAUACUCUUUUUCAUUCUUUUUCUAUGGACUCUCUCUCUCUCUCUCUCUCUCUCUCUCUCUCUCUCUCUCUCAUGCACAUGAAUAACAGGUCCAAACAUAACAUGCACGCAAUAAAAGCUACCAUUGUAGUGCAAUAAACUAUUAUCUUUGAUCAAGACUUACACAAGGGUCUUUAGGUGGUGAGUAGUUAUGCGCCAGGUCAUAUCCACGACAUGGAUAUUGGAGUCUUGAGCGCUAGGGCACAUAGACCACCAAGGAUGGUAGUGUAGCCCACUAAUGCACUUGGCUUCUUAUACUCAAGCCUUGACACCAACGAACAAGUCCACAACACACUUUGGAUUGAUCACCGCUUGUCAAGACAUGGGGCACUGCGAGGUAUCUCCAAGGUGUGGCCAAAGCACCCCCUCGGUUAGGUCAAUGAUUCUUUUCUUGGCCACAUCCACUCCACUUGGUAGGAGCAUGCUCAGUACCUUCUUGGCUUGAUCAAGUGACUCUCAACUAGGACAUGCACCCUUUAUGCCUCAUUCCAUCCCCAAUGGAUAUCUUCAGGACGCAACAUCUCUAAGUAUGACUUGACUUGACCCCGUCCCUUGGUUCGAUUGAGUGAAUUUCUCCACCCUAAAGCUAGGAUCUUAUGAGUUCUCCAAAAUGGCACCCUAAUGCUAUAUUUUUUGUUUGCCUAGGUCAGGAGCAAGACCUAGGGACCCCUUGGGGUUGGUGCCGUGACAUGGACACCUGAGUGUACCCAUGACCAAUGCAUGGGAUCAGUAGGGACUUGUGGAUUGACGAGUAGAGCUAAGGGUAUCGUCAAAUUUGCUUGGAUCAUACCCUUAAGGUGGCUCUACUUUGACCUAUCUUAGAGAAGAAAGAGAGGCCUCCAUAGGGAGUCAUCUUUUGACCGACGUGCAUGUGCUCCACCUUUCUCAUACUUGGUGAGCAUGCCAACACACUUGACACGCUGUCAGUGGCUUUACAACCCAUACCAUACUCCAUUUGUUAGGUGGGAUACAUGGGAUCCUACAUCCUCUUGUGCCCAUACUGCUCUAUAUAUAGGAAGUUUACUACUUCCACUGGCAUAUCAUCAACUUAAGAAGUCAUACCAUCUAUCUCCCUCUGGCUCAUUAAGAGACUUUACCUUCACUGCCACUCUCUCACACUCUCUAUUAAGGAUGCCUCAACUCUCCCCCUCUCCACCCUUGGUAGUUCUACACCAUCCGAGUGCCUAACAUAAUUCUUAGCAGACCCAUGGUCUGCCCAUGCAACCAAUGACCGUCUAGAAAGAAAGCAGGGAAGGGAAACGUACGAGAAGAGAGAGCAGCAAACAUACAUCCUUUAUUAUUAUUAUCAAAAUCAACCAACCAACCCAAAAAAAAAAAAAAUGUUUGGUGUUAGGUGUUAGG
Non-coding RNA from Camellia sinensis, 4122 nucleotides. The record is from RefSeq and is a predicted model, not a curated record. NCBI's taxonomy places the organism in Eukaryota, Viridiplantae, Streptophyta, Magnoliopsida, Ericales, Theaceae.